GACGCGGGGGCGUGGUCAGCGAGACGUACUAGCACGGAGCGUGGCGUGGGGCCGCGGCCUUCGAGGCGCUUUGGAGCGCUCGAGGUCCGACCGGCGUCGGAGCAGGAAGGAGGUCCGGCCAGGCUUGCGUAGCGCGGGCCACCACUGCUCCCCGGCGGCCGGCCGCGGCGCUGCAGCCAGGGAGGGAGCGCCUCCGGCCGUCCAGCUCGGACCGUCCAGCUCGAACCCUAACCCGUCCAGCUCCCUUCGUCCUCCGGGGACCGUCCUGCGUGGCCACCGGUCUGCAGCCCCGGCGGAGCGUGGUGGCCGGAAAGGAGAGGCCCCACUCGGUGCUGCGCGUCCUCAGAAGUUUGAGGGUUAUCGUAGGGUUAUUCGGCAAAACGAGCUUCCAAGUGACUUUAUCCCGCGCUGGUCCUCCUGUGAGCUUGGCUCGGAAUACGCUGCACUUCGGCUUAGCCGACACCGUCACCCUGGAGGGUCUCCAUCCCAGGAACAAGGAAGUCCCACGCAGAGCCAGGAAAGGGACGUCAUGAUGUCACAAUGUCAUUGUGGUGUAGACGCGCCAGAGCAUGGGGUACACCUCCAGACGCGCUUGCUGCAGCAGGACCAGCACCUACAACGGGCGGGACCUCUCUGAGUGCAGGGUCUCUGCGGGGUGGCCUGAAGUUGCUGACGCCAGGAUGUGCCCGAUGAACAGCCUCCACCCCUUGCCCUCCAGCUCGAGCCAGCCGUUGGACGGGAAUUGUGGAUGGAGCAGGCAGGACGGUUGCCUCUGCUCAGAAGGGGCCCCUGGCCUGGCCCUGUGCGCACCCCCCUCAGAGAGGAGCACAGACCCCAGCUCCUGAGAUGCCUGUGCAGCCGCCGGAAAAGAGCCUGAGGCUGCCGUGUCCAUGCCCGCGUCCCCGGCUCUGCGUCCUCCCGCGGCGGCGGGUGUGAGAGAGCCGCGCGCCAGAGGCCCAGCGCGGGCUUCUCCCUGGAUGUCCCCACCGGGGACGUGGUCUCCUUCCACCGCCCGGACUCGGCGGCGGACUGGGGGGCUCGCCUGUGACCCGGGCAGCUGUCCCACCGCGUCAGGCCGGAAGGAGCACGAAGUCGUCGUUGACGUCGACCAUGGGCACGUAGAAGGACGGCACCUCGUUCACACACAGGGACUUGUGCCCGGCGGGGUCCAGCUCCUGCACCUUCAGCUGCCACUCCAUCCUCUGCACAGCGUUGAGGGCCGCGGCCUCGUGCUGCUGCCGCAUCAGGAGACACGUCUACGCGGGAAACGCAGCAGGUGAGGGGAGGGGAGGCAAGACCCCGGCCGCCCCCCGCACCCAUUCCCCCUGCCGCAGCGCCUCCCGGGAGGUCGGGGCGGGGGACCCUUUCGCGCUCUGGCCUCAGGACGACCUCUUGCGUCUGGGUCUCGUCCUGCGCGGUGAGUGGCCUUGCUGACCACACGGGGGUCUGUCCAUCAUCCCUGCUCUGUGCCCCCACCCUGGGGGUUUCAGCACAGCCUCUAGUCAGAACUCAUAAUAGCUUUGCUCUUCUGUUUUCAUUUUCCAUUUAUCUUAUUUAUGGUUGGUGAUAUUGGCUUCAUUUGCACUCACAGUGGAAAUUAUGCCUUUUAGAAAUGCACUUAGUUUUUAAAAAUUAAUGUUCACGUGUUUACUCUUAAGCGGGUACUAAGUAAGGUAAACAGUUAUACUACUAAAGGCGUACUCUGUAUUUCAUGUUGAGAAGGGAGAAUGUUGAAACUGAAAUAAUGACGGUACCUGGGUUACCAACAGCACGUGGGGGGGGGGGCGGCGUUUGGGGUACAAGGCAGGUGACACAGAGCACAGCGGGCGAAAAGACCAGCCUUCAUGUGGACAGAGUUAACGGCGUGACAGUGUGCAGGAAGAUCAUCUUAUUUUCUUCGACGUGCACACAAGCAUGUAGGGCCAGGUAUCACAAUUUCUGAUUUGCUUAAAAUAGUUCAGUUAAAAAAAGUGUUCUGGAAACAAGCCCCACAGGCCCCAGCGGCCAGCCGUGUCCUCCUCGGCACGCCUGGGCCGCUUGUCAUCCUCAGGGAGGCUUGAACAAAAGGCGUGGCAGCUCAGACACCCUCAGGAGUCCAGCUGCUUUCAUCUAAUUUAGAGCGUUCUUGACUAGAAUUGUACGUACCCCUGAGUUUUCAGUUACUAAAAUGAAAUUGUUUGUUGGGCUAAACCCCUGAAACAUGACCAGCAUGUCCGGGGAGUUGUCCCAGGGCUGCAGGAACUGAGGGUGGGCAGCCUGUCUCCUGAAUAGGACCUCGUCCACCCUGUGCUCUGAGACCAGUGGCCACGCGGGUGGCCGUUUCGUGCCCCUGCACUCUCCGUACUUCACCAAUUCCUUUUUCUAUCCAUCUAUUUUUCUUAUUGGUUUGUAAGUUCUUGGCACAUUAAGGAAAUGAGACUUAACGUUGUCUUUGUAAUGUACCAAAUCUAACUUUACUUCGGUCAGAAAUUUUUUCUCUCUUGUAAGUUUCCCGUGCAGCUCCCUUCAGGCUGGCUGGUGGUGGGAGGAGUGACCGUGGGACCCCCGAACGGUCACCUUUGCAGCUUGUUAGAAACACGGCCUGGACCCGGCCUCAGCUGGGCCUGAACGCCCUGUAGGCUGGUUCCUCUCUGCUCUGGCCUCUGGCCUCCUGGCCGCCCCUCUGGGUGCGCUGCCGCAGUGCCGGAGGCAGGGUCACUGAGGCAAGGGGUGAGGCUGGCAGCCCAGCGUGGGAGCCUGGGUCACGCCUCCAUCAGCUCCACGCAGCAGGCCCUGCCUCCUGGGGCUUCCCGGUGGUGCCGGCUUCUAGGUGUUAAUUCUGUAACGGGCACGUCACUGCCGGUCAGUGUUCACGGGGGACCCCGGGUGCAACCCUCGCACCUGCAGACAAGGACUUGCUUCUUACUUGCUAAUCUCUCUCUAUCUCCCCCCCAUCCUCUGCCCACUGCACUGGUCAGCACAGCCAGGGGCAGGGGUGAUGGGUGGAUGCUGUGACCUUUGAGGAGGGCUCAAGGUGGGGUCCCACAGAGGUCUGACCGCCAGCUGGUGACUGGAGCUGCUCCCCGCACACCUGGACAGGAGGGAAGACACUCUAAGAGGCAACAUGGGGGCGGGGAGGCCUCAGCUCCCUCACUGCCAGCUGGGCUCAGAGCGAGUCUGAAGCUGCCUCUUCCGAACACGGCCCUGCCGCCCCCGCCCAGAAGAGCCCUGGCCCCGCCGCCGCCGCCGGGGCCGGGGCUCACCUUCAUGCGGUCAUACUUGUCGUCCACGUCCUGCAGCCAGGAGAUGAACUGGCGGGCGUUGAACCGGUCCCGCACUGACUUGUUCUCAUCACCCUGGCGGGAGAGUGAAGCACGUGUGGGCGUCCGGGAGGGGUGGGCCUGGCACGCCAAGCCCCGGGUCCCCCAGUCAAGGGCUCCCUUCCCCACCAGCUCUCCACGCCGUCCGUGGGGGGAGCUGCCCUGUGGUGACUCGGGACCCCGGCGGCGCCUUCAGGCUCCCCUCCGUCUCCUGGGGAGGCCCCAGGGCGAGCCGGCGAGGGUAAAAAGCGGCAGUGACUUUUCCUUUGACAGAACGUCUGCGAGGCCUGGGGUGGCUGCAGGCCGCCCACGGUGGACUGUGGUUUACAGGCAGGGCAGCCUCGGGAGCAGUAGGUCCCCACAGGCUCUUGCCGGCUGGGUUUGCAGGGCCUCCCGGGUCUCGGGGCAGGAAAGUCUCCCUCUCGCCCAGCCACACGCAACCACCUGCCUGGCGAAAGCCCAGGCCCCCACUACAAAGGGGCUUGAGGGGAGGAGGCUGCAGCCUGAGAGCCCUGUCU
This is a long non-coding RNA of Orcinus orca (killer whale), 3817 nucleotides long. RefSeq lists it as uncharacterized. The record is from RefSeq and is a predicted model, not a curated record. NCBI's taxonomy places the organism in Eukaryota, Metazoa, Chordata, Mammalia, Artiodactyla, Delphinidae. The transcript is spliced from 4 exons.